UUUUAUCAGAAAAAAAUGGACUUUAAAACAAAGACUGUAAUAAGAGACAAAGAUGGCAUUAUGAAAUGAUAAAGGGGUCAAUCCUACAGUAGGAUAUGACAUUUAUAAAUACCUAUUCACCCACCA
This is a long non-coding RNA of Herpailurus yagouaroundi (jaguarundi), 126 nucleotides long. RefSeq lists it as uncharacterized. The record is from RefSeq and is a predicted model, not a curated record. Lineage: Eukaryota; Metazoa; Chordata; Mammalia; Carnivora; Felidae. The transcript is spliced from 3 exons.